UACGUAGGGUCCGAGCGUUGUCCGGAUUUAUUGGGCGUAAAGAGCUCGUAGGCGGCUUGCUAAGUCAGGUGUGAAACCUCCAGGCUCAACCUGGAGCCGCCACCUGAUACUGGUAUGGCUAGAGUCCGGUAGGGGACCACGGAAUUCCUGGUGUAGCGGUGAAAUGCGCAGAUAUCAGGAAGAACACCCGUGGCGAAGGCGGCUUUCUGGGACGGUACUGACGCUGAGACGCGAAAGCGUGGGGAGCGAACAGG
Molecule: ribosomal RNA, 254 nt
Filed under: uncultured bacterium
Lineage: Bacteria
Description: partial 16S ribosomal RNA
Rfam family: Bacterial small subunit ribosomal RNA
Source: RNAcentral